AGAGCUUCAGGAUGUUGACAGUGUGACGUUUGUUUUGGUGCAGCAGCAGCACGAGUGUGCAGUUUUAAACACAUAAACUGAAGAUGACAGCUCAGCGACAGUGUUUUAAUGUCACUAAACAACAUUUAAUGCAGUCCGACAACUAAAAUAACCGACACACGCUGAGAUAAAGGACAGAAAUGCAGUGAAAAGCCACUCAUCUAGAUUGAGGGAUGUGUUUGGACCGUACAGUCAACAGAAGUAGAGCUCCGGGACGUUUGGACUACAUUUACUGGCGUGAUGGACGUCUGCUGCGGACAGGAAAAGAACACAGAAGUGAAGACGGUGUGAUCAAGACUGAACACAGACAAAGGCAGUAUCCCCGAGUUAGAGGAGAUCAUGAUCA
RNAcentral lists this long non-coding RNA (385 nucleotides) under Danio rerio (zebrafish). Its description in RNAcentral is "lncRNA si:dkey-207j16.4 (ENSDARG00000095446.3)". The record is from RNAcentral. Lineage: Eukaryota; Metazoa; Chordata; Actinopteri; Cypriniformes; Danionidae.